RNAcentral lists this long non-coding RNA (329 nucleotides) under Mytilus galloprovincialis (Mediterranean mussel). The record is from RNAcentral. Lineage: Eukaryota; Metazoa; Mollusca; Bivalvia; Mytilida; Mytilidae.
AAAAAAUUUAGUCAGUAUCAAAAACCAUCAUGACUGAAAGUCUAUCAGCAGCGAUAGCGAUGCAGUGCUCUCAGAAAUUAAACAACACUAAAUUAUUGGCAUGCAUCCGAAUUUCUGAAUUUUAUUUCAUCGGGAACGUUCAAAGCUAAAUGUUUGGUACGCCAAAGAUGUACAGGCUCUUUUAUGAUUUUGAUUAUCUGCAAAAUUAACCACAUCAUCAGCAUCAAGUAAAAUGGAAAUUUUCUCAUCUUGUAAAUCAAUACCACACGCAUAUGAUUCUAAGAACGAAACUAUACCAUUUAUAUAACGAUACAGAUACAUAUAAGAAC